RNAcentral lists this long non-coding RNA (1220 nucleotides) under Cairina moschata (Muscovy duck). Its description in RNAcentral is "domestica (muscovy Duck (domestic type)) lncRNA (ENSCMMG00000005400.1)". The record is from RNAcentral. Lineage: Eukaryota; Metazoa; Chordata; Aves; Anseriformes; Anatidae.
UUCUUAUACAAUACUUCUUCCUUCCUGAUAAUGUCUAUUUGUUCUCUAUUUUUGGAUUGCUUUUCCAUUGUUAUCUCUAGAUUAUGAACAAAUGUUCAUAAUCCUGCAGCUGAUGGCUGCAGGAUCUGUUUAAUUAAUACAUCCAUUUUAGAACAGUUAAUAUAUUUUCCUAUAUACUAUUUUUAUUUAUUUAGUUAGUUUUAAUACAGGAUAAGUAAUUUAUAGCAGUUGGUGUUUCCAUUAUACAUGUAUUCUUCUCCUAUGGUAUGAUACAUGCAAUGCAUAAAUUGUUAUUUAUCUGAUUGAAAAGACAAAAUAAGUUUGGAAUAUAAUCAGGUUUGCCUGAUUAAAUUUCAUGUUUUUAAAAUCAAGUGCAAGGAGUUAAAGGUGGUAUUUGUGUAAUUGUGGAAGACAUAUUGAAGGUUCAUGAGAAUACAUAUGAGUUAAAAUAGCAUUCAUGGGCAUUGAUAAGACAAUAUGUUAACUUUUUAUCGUGGCUAAAAGGGGGAUGGUCUUCUAAUGGGCUAUCAAUGCAACAACUUUUAGAAAAUGUAAUUCGCUAAGUGCUGGGUGGUACUGGCUUAGUAGGUGUAUAAUAAAGCACUAUUCAUCCAGAAUAAAGAUGAAGAGUGGAGCUUCUAACAAUCUAAAGAAAACAGCUGAGGUCAGCCAAGGCAGCAGAGUUAUUUGGACAGCUUUGAGUAAUUUUUGUCUUGCUUACCACCAGGAUAAGGACAAGCCCCGUGCAAAUGGAGGUUGAGCAACAAAGAGAUUAAACAAUUAAUAAAAUCAGUGGUAAGUGUCUGAUCACAGUAUAAUCAUGUUUUCAGAUGUGCAUGUUUUAGCCUUCCAUUUGUCCUGUUCAGUGUCUGUGAGAGCAAUAUAUGCUAGUCAGCAGGGUGAGGUUUUAAGACUAAAGUAAAAAUUGUACUUUCUUGAACCUUGGCAAGAAAGGCAAUCACUUUUCCUUGGCCUUUGUCUAAUAGUCAUAGAGACUGUAAGUUCAUAAGUGCAGUGAAUUGUCUUAAAUGUGUUUGAUACACACUUAAAUUGUAAUAACAAAUCAAGUGUCAUUGUACAUUCAUUUCAUGUGUUUUAUAUUAAAAACAAACCAACAAAACUUGGUCGCUAUACAGAAUAGACUGAAAAAUGUCUCGUAUGGUAAGAUAAUACUUUCAAAUGUUGUUACUAUGUUGGGUGUUCAGCCGAGAUAGUCAGAC